This is a long non-coding RNA of Cyprinus carpio carpio, 342 nucleotides long. Lineage: Eukaryota; Metazoa; Chordata; Actinopteri; Cypriniformes; Cyprinidae. The record is from Ensembl.
UUCCUCUGAGGACCAUUUCGCUGUCGAGAGCGUUUCUGUGUUGAUUGAAACCAUAGACAGUAAAAGAAACAAGCUUCAGUUCAUUCUUGGGAAAGCGUAAAGGCGCAGUGCUGUCAUGUAUGGAGUGCUGUGCUGGUCCCCCACCCCCUCGUCUUCUGUCAUAGUGGUGGCAGGUCUGUCCCGACCAGGAGCAGAUUGAAUUGCAAAUCUCCUGACUUCUGUCGGCGUCCGAGGCUGAACUGGCCCUUUGCAGUCGGCCAUUCAUGUGGUAAUAUGAAGUCCGAGGGGCAAGAGGGGCCCUGGGGCCACAGAGAGUCACUUUCGGGGACACUCCCAAUUGAC